AAUAUCACAUUAUCACCACAACUUCUGAACCAGCGAAGCUUCCUCUCUCACUCCUUCCUUUUCCGCAGCCUCCACCAAACACCACCACUGAAUGCCACCACCGUACCCUCCUCCUUCUUUCCUUUUUCUGUUAAUGAUGGUGGUGACUGUCACGUGGCAGCCACAAGAUCAAGGGUUUUAGGAGAUCUAUGACCUUCCCAAGUAGCAGAUUUCACAUUCUUCUUCCGUUGACAAGGCUCAGAUUUGACAGCACCUUUAGCACUACUCUUAGUUCCUUAACUUCAACAAUUACCUCUCCUUCAUCUUCUCUCGUGCUAAGGGUGAAGAUGUUGAUUGGAGGUCUGUAGAGGGAGAAAUCUGCUUUGAACAACAGUUCUAUUAUUGGGUAUUUUUCAUCUUCUUGUCUCUCAUUUAUAAGCUUUGGUACAUUGAUAUUUUGGUUGAUUGUAUACACGAUUUGUGCUUUGUUUGAGACUUUAAUUUCUUGUACUUCAUAUUUGAUUAUAGUGGAGCCAUUUUCCUGGUCUUGGUGACUCGUGAUUUUUACCUCACAUUGAGGGAUUUUUCACGUUAAAAUAUCAGUGUGUUCUUAUUGUUACUUUAGUUAAAAUAUUUGCCUGCUUAUUGUUGCUGUCAUAUUAUGUUGUGAACGCUUCCAUAUUGUUCUUGUAUUGGAUAUUUAUGUUGUUUUCGCUGUCAGACACUUUCAAGCAACAACCUUGUGAUCAGACCAAAUAUCAACUAACUUAAAGAUAUCGUUGCAAUAGUUUCUCCAAACCUACGACAAGCUAGCACCAAUGAUUAAUUUCUGUCUAGGCAACACCUUCUAAAUCUGAGAUACAAGAGUGAUGAUGACUAGUUUAAAGAUUAUUCUUCAUGACUUGUUUUCAAUUUUUCAUGGUAUUAGCUUGAGGAUUAAUAAACCGUAAUUUUAUAGUUUAUCUUGUGUUGAUUUUAGGGGAUUUUAUCAACUUAUCCCACAUUUAUUCAAUGAAAUAGCAUGGUUUCAUGAAUUUCUCCUAAUUAUGCUUAAUGGCUAAAAACAUGCUUUUUAAGCUUUAAAUUGGCAAUUUUAAUUCACCUUUGAUUCCACUAGAUACUUUGAUGUGUUUGUUAGUGAAUUCAGGAUUGAAAAAGGCAAGGAAUGAAUCAAAGGAGUGAAGGAAAAAGCAUGUAAAAAGGAGGAUUCAUGGAAAAACAAGGAUUUAGAGUAUCCAGAGCGACACGCACGCAUGACAGACGCAUACGUGUGAAGAGGUGCAUCGUCGAAAGCAACGCGUAUGCGUGACAUGACGUGUGCGCAUGACAAGAAAAAGCCAGACGACGCGUACGCGUGACCCAUGUAUAUGCGUCACAAUCAGCACGUGACCUCAUUAAAUUGAAUACGCUGGGGACGAUUUCUAAGCUGCCAAGGCCUAAAUCCAACCCAUUUCUGAAACUAUUUGAGGCUGAAUUCAAGAUGGAUCAAGGGGGGAACAAUUAGUUAGUGUAGGAAACAUGCCUUAGGUUAGUUCUAGAGAGAGAAGCUCCCUCUUCUCUCUAGAAAUUAGGGUUCUUAGUUUAUUUUCAUCUUAGAUUUAGGUUUAAUUACUUAUUUUGAUUUAGUUUCCUUUACUUUUCCUUGUUGAAUUGCUCCAAUCUUUUUAGUUUCUCUUGUUAAUUUCUCAUUUUGUUACUUUUUAUGUUGAUGAACUCUUGUUAAUUCCCCUUUCCUUUAAUGCAAUUUGAGGUUUUAUGUUC
Long non-coding RNA from Arachis stenosperma, 1740 nucleotides. RefSeq lists it as uncharacterized. The record is from RefSeq and is a predicted model, not a curated record. Lineage: Eukaryota; Viridiplantae; Streptophyta; Magnoliopsida; Fabales; Fabaceae. The transcript has 2 exons.